Molecule: ribosomal RNA, 307 nt
Filed under: uncultured Helotiales
Lineage: Eukaryota; Fungi; Ascomycota; Leotiomycetes; Helotiales
Description: eukaryotic LSU rRNA
Rfam family: 5.8S ribosomal RNA (bases 1-87)
Source: RNAcentral
AUGUGAUCGCAGAUUCAGUGAUCAUCGAAUCUUUGAACGCACAUUGCGCCCUUUGGUAUUCCGGGGGGCAUGCCUGUUCGAGCGUCAUUUCAACCCUCAAGCCCUGGCUUGGUAUUGGGCUUCGGCGCUCACCGGGCGGGCCUUAAAAUCAGUGGCGGAGCCUCCGAGGCCCUGAGCGCGGUAAAUAUCCUCGCUAUAGGGACCCGGUGGUUACUGGCCAGCAACCCCGACUUUCUAAGUUUGACCUCGGAUCAGGUAGGGAUACCCGCUGAACUUAAGCAUAUCAUAAGGUGAAGGAAAUCAUGUG